RNAcentral lists this ribosomal RNA (483 nucleotides) under uncultured bacterium. RNAcentral describes it as "partial 16S ribosomal RNA". It matches the Rfam family "Bacterial small subunit ribosomal RNA", at positions 28 to 507 of the family's 1533-position model. The record is from RNAcentral.
GACGAACGCUGGCGGCGUGCUUAACACAUGCAAGUCGAACGCUGAAGCUCAGCUUUUGUUGGGUGGAUGAGUGGCGAACGGGUGAGUAACACGUGAGUAACCUGCCCCCUUCUUUGGGAUAACGCCCGGAAACGGGUGCUAAUACUGGAUAUUCACUGGUCUUCGCAUGGGGGUUGGUGGAAAGGGUUUUUCUGGUGGGGGAUGGGCUCGCGGCCUAUCAGCUUGUUGGUGGGGUGAUGGCCUACCAAGGCUUUGACGGGUAGCCGGCCUGAGAGGGUGACCGGUCACAUUGGGACUGAGAUACGGCCCAGACUCCUACGGGAGGCAGCAGUGGGGAAUAUUGCACAAUGGGUGCAAGCCUGAUGCAGCGACGCCGCGUGAGGGAUGGAGGCCGUCGGGUUGUGAACCUCUUUCGCUCAUGGUCAAGCCGCAACAAUGGUUGUGGUGAGGGUAGUGGGUAAAGAAGCGCCGGCUAACUACGUG